CAAAAAAUAUUUAUUUUUCCAACAGUUUUUUGUAAAAAAGCUUAAGCCCUUAUUUACUUCCUCAGAGUCCUUUCGUACAAAUGAGAACCAAUAUUAGUAGAUAGAAACUGUCCUGUCUCACGACGGACUGAACUCAGAUCGCGUAAGAUUUUAUAGGUUGAACAAACCUACCCUUGGAAACGGCUACACCUCCAGGACAUCUUGAUCCAACAUCGAGGUCGCAAACUUUCUUGUCAAUAUGAACUCUCAAAGAAAAUUACGCUGUUAUCCCUAUGGUAACUAUUUCUUAAUACCAAAAAAUUGUGGAUCAAAACUAGAUUUAAAUCUUCAACUGUUUAAUCCUGUCUUAUUAUAAGAUUAAUUGCCCCAAUCAAAAUUUAAUAUUUAUUUAUAUUAAUAAUAAAAAACUAAAGCUCAAUAGGGUCUUCUCGUCCCACUAUCACAUUUUGGUUUCUUCACCAAAAUACUAAAUUCAAUUUAUAUAAAGAAAGACAGUAUUUCCUUCGUCUAGCCGUUGAUUCCAGCCUGCAAUUAACAAGCAAAUGAUUAUGCUACCUUUGUACGGUCAAAGUACCGCAGCCGUUUAAUCAAAAGAUCACUGGGCAGGCAGAACCCUAUAAUUUUUAAUCUAAGGGCGAUGUUUUAGGUAAACAGGCGAGGAAAAUUUUGCCAAGUUCCUUUCCUUAUAUUAAGGCUUCUCUCUCUUCUAAGAUAAGAAUACUCUUUUAUAGUCAAAAACAAAAAACUAUCGACAAUAUUAUUUCCUAAAAUAGAGAAACUUUACUCAUAGAACCAUUAUCACCUAAAAUUAUUUAACGUCCAAUUAAAUUUCAUAAGUACAGAAAAUCCUACAAAAAUUAAUCACUUAAUUAUUAAGGAGCUUAAACGCUCUCUUCACAGAAAAAAUGCUUAAAUCCUACCUCUUAAUAUUAUUUAAUAUCUUUAAUGUCUUUACUUUAAUUAACAGGUUAUUUCCUCUAAGAACUUAACGAUCAACCGAUAAAUUCUCCAAAGAAAAACUUCCAUUUUAGCUAAUACUAAUUUUUUUGGAAAAAAGCUAUCAUAAUAUUCGAUUAACAUUUCACUGCUAUCUUCCUCUCUAGCCUUACUUUUUCUACAGUUAGACUUACCAUCAAAUAUGGGGAAAAAAAUAGAUCAUAUUAUUUCGUUUAUAAAGAAAACCUCUUUAAUUAUUUAGUCCUCCAUAAUACAAAAGGUAAAGCCAAAAACUUUCUUCUAAAUUUUUUUAUUUUUAUUAAUUCUAACAACCUUCUCAGUAAAAAAUUAUAGGUAUAUAUUAUACUUUCAAUAGAUUUUACUAACAAAAAACUUUUAGUCAAAAUACUUUCCAUGACCUCCAUUAAUUAAAUUUUAAAACUUUAUCAUCC
Molecule: ribosomal RNA, 1388 nt
Filed under: Amphiophiura penichra
Lineage: Eukaryota; Metazoa; Echinodermata; Ophiuroidea; Amphilepidida; Ophiuridae
Description: large subunit ribosomal RNA
Source: RNAcentral